This 101-nucleotide transfer RNA is filed under the name Methylobacterium organophilum. RNAcentral's name for it is "tRNA-Arg". Lineage: Bacteria; Pseudomonadati; Pseudomonadota; Alphaproteobacteria; Hyphomicrobiales; Methylobacteriaceae. The record is from RNAcentral.
CCGGGCGCUGGCCGGCGCGGGGCCGCCGACUCCGGGCCUUCGGCGCCCGGAUCCUCGGCCUCGUCCUGCUGUUCCUGGCGCUCUGGUUCGCUGCGGCCGUG